AGUUAGCCGGUGCUUUUCUGCAGGUACCGUCACUUUCGCUUCUUCCCUGCUAAAAGAGGUUUACAACCCGAAGGCCUUCGUCCCUCACGCGGCGUUGCUGCAUCAGGCUUUCGCCCAUUGUGCAAUAUUCCCC
RNAcentral lists this ribosomal RNA (133 nucleotides) under uncultured bacterium. RNAcentral's name for it is "partial 16S ribosomal RNA". The record is from RNAcentral.